UACGUAGGGGCCGAGCGUUGUCCGGAGUUAUUGGGCGUAAAGCGCGCGCAGGCGGCUUGGCGCGUCCGACGUGAAAGCCCCCGGCUUAACCGGGGAGAGUCGUCGGGGACGGCCGGGCUUGAGGGCGGGAGAGGGUGGUGGAAUUCCCGGUGUAGUGGUGAAAUGCGUAGAGAUCGGGAGGAACACCUGUGGCGAAGGCGGCCACCUGGGCCGACCCUGACGCUGAGGCGCGAAGGCGUGGGGAGCGAACGGG
This 253-nucleotide ribosomal RNA is filed under the name uncultured bacterium. RNAcentral describes it as "partial 16S ribosomal RNA". It matches the Rfam family "Bacterial small subunit ribosomal RNA", at positions 524 to 776 of the family's 1533-position model. The record is from RNAcentral.